This 253-nucleotide ribosomal RNA is filed under the name uncultured bacterium. RNAcentral describes it as "partial 16S ribosomal RNA". It matches the Rfam family "Bacterial small subunit ribosomal RNA", at positions 524 to 776 of the family's 1533-position model. The record is from RNAcentral.
UACGGAGGAUCCAAGCGUUAUCCGGAAUCAUUGGGUUUAAAGGGUCCGUAGGCGGUCUAGUAAGUCAGUGGUGAAAGCCCAUCGCUCAACGGUGGAACGGCCAUUGAUACUGCUGGACUUGAAUUAUUGGGAAGCAACUAGAAUAUGUAGUGUAGCGGUGAAAUGCUUAGAGAUUACAUGGAAUACCAAUUGCGAAGGCAGGUUGCUACCAAUUGAUUGACGCUGAUGGACGAAAGCGUGGGUAGCGAACAGG